CUACGGGAGGCAGCAGUCGAGAAUCAUUCGCAAUGGGCGAAAGCCUGACGAUGCGACGCCGUGUGAACGAAGAAGGCCUUAGGGUUGUAAAGUUCUUUCGCUAAGGGUCAAGAGAAAUGUGAUAAAACCACAUUGAUUUGAGAGUACUUGGUAAAGAAGCACCGGCUAACUCCGUGCGCAGCAGCUGCGGUAAUACGGAGGGUGCGAGCGUUAAUCGGAUUUAUUGGGCGUAAAGGGCGAGUAGACGGUACAGGAAGUCAGGCGUGAAAUUCCGAAGCUCAACUUCGGAGCUGCACCUGAAACUGUUGUACUUGAGGGUAGGCGGAGAAAACGGAAUUCCACGUGUAGCGGUGAAAUGCGUAGAUAUGUGGAAGAACACCGGUGGCGAAGGCGGUUUUCUAGCUUAUACCUGACGUUGAGGCGCGAAAGCUGGGGGAGCGAACAGGAUUAGAUACCCCCGUAGUC
This 465-nucleotide ribosomal RNA is filed under the name uncultured bacterium. RNAcentral describes it as "partial 16S ribosomal RNA". It matches the Rfam family "Bacterial small subunit ribosomal RNA", at positions 339 to 795 of the family's 1533-position model. The record is from RNAcentral.